UAAGACUAUGUAUGCCUUGCAGCCUGAUC
Molecule: non-coding RNA, 29 nt
Filed under: Mus musculus (house mouse)
Lineage: Eukaryota; Metazoa; Chordata; Mammalia; Rodentia; Muridae
Source: RNAcentral